UACGUAGGUGGCAAGCGUUGUCCGAAUUUAUUGGGUUUAAAGGGUGCGUAGGCGGUCUAUUAAGUCAGUGGUGAAAUAUGGCAGCUCAACUGUCAAGGUGCCAUUGAUACUGAUGGACUUGAGUGAAGUCGAAGUAGGCGGAAUUGACGGUGUAGCGGUGAAAUGCUUAGAUAUCGUCAAGAACACCGAUAGUGAAGACAGCUUACUAGGCUUAUACUGACGCUGAGGCACGAAAGUGUGGGGAUCAAACAGG
RNAcentral lists this ribosomal RNA (253 nucleotides) under uncultured bacterium. RNAcentral's name for it is "partial 16S ribosomal RNA". It matches the Rfam family "Bacterial small subunit ribosomal RNA", at positions 524 to 776 of the family's 1533-position model. The record is from RNAcentral.